UACGUAGGUGGCAAGCGUUGUCCGGAAUUAUUGGGCGUAAAGAGCGUGUAGGCGGCCAGGUAGGUGGGUUGUGAAAACUGGAGGCUCAACCUUCAGACGUCGACCCAAACCCCCUGGCUAGAGUCCGGAAGAGGAGAGUGGAAUUCCUGGUGUAGCGGUGAAAUGCGCAGAUAUCAGGAAGAACACCCGUGGCGAAGGCGGCUCUCUGGGACGGUACCGACGCUGAGACGCGAAAGCGUGGGGAGCGAACAGG
RNAcentral lists this ribosomal RNA (253 nucleotides) under uncultured bacterium. Its description in RNAcentral is "partial 16S ribosomal RNA". It matches the Rfam family "Bacterial small subunit ribosomal RNA", at positions 524 to 776 of the family's 1533-position model. The record is from RNAcentral.